AUAUUUUGUGUUGUUAAUAAUAAUGGAUGGAGUGAUCACAGAUCUUGAAGAAACUAAGGAUGCCAUUAUUAGGGCAUCAGAUCUGCAAUUGUCAAUUCUUAUUGUUGGGGGAAGGAGCUGAUUUCAAGGAAAUGGAGGUAUUCUUGUUUUCCUUGCCUUCAUAAUAAAGGUACAUGCAGCUAGCCUUUUGUUUUACAAGAGUUUCUUUAUAUAUAUAUAUAUAUAUAUAUAUAUAUAUAUAUAUAUAUAUAUAUAUAUCAAUCUCUAUUUCAGAUUUUAGAUGCUGAUAAAGGGGAUAGACUCAAAAAUUCUCAGGGCAAGGUAGCAUCCCGUGAUAUAUUCCAAU
Long non-coding RNA from Ipomoea nil (Japanese morning glory), 346 nucleotides. RefSeq lists it as uncharacterized. The record is from RefSeq and is a predicted model, not a curated record. The transcript has 3 exons. NCBI's taxonomy places the organism in Eukaryota, Viridiplantae, Streptophyta, Magnoliopsida, Solanales, Convolvulaceae.